AGGAUUAACGCUGGCGGCGUGCCUGACACAUGCAAGUCGAACGAGGCCGCAAGGCCGAGUGGCGGACGGGUGAGUAACACGUGACCAACCAACCUCGAAGUUGGGAAUAGCUCUGCGAAAGUAGGGGUAAUACCGAAUGUGGCCCAGGGCGGGCAUCCGCCUUGGUCUAAAGAUUCAUCGCUUCGAGACGGGGUCGCGGCCUAUUAGCUUGUUGGUGAGGUAACGGCUCACCAAGGCGAUGAUGGGUAGCUGGUCUGAGAGGACGACCAGCCACACUGGGACUGAGACACGGCCCAGACUCCUACGGGAGGCAGCAGUGAGGAAUCUUCCGCAAUGGGCGAAAGCCUGACGGAGCAACGCCGCGUGAGUGAUGAAGACCUUCGGGUUGUAAAGCUCUGUCGGAGGGGAAGAACACAAUGACGGUACCCUCCAAGAAAGCCCGGCUAACUACGUGCCAGCAGCCGC
RNAcentral lists this ribosomal RNA (465 nucleotides) under uncultured bacterium. RNAcentral describes it as "SSU rRNA". It matches the Rfam family "Bacterial small subunit ribosomal RNA", at positions 26 to 518 of the family's 1533-position model. The record is from RNAcentral.